RNAcentral lists this ribosomal RNA (487 nucleotides) under Microrhopala vittata. RNAcentral's name for it is "partial 12S small subunit ribosomal RNA". The record is from RNAcentral. Lineage: Eukaryota; Metazoa; Arthropoda; Insecta; Coleoptera; Chrysomelidae.
ACAUAUAGUUAUUUUGAUUUUUUUGGUGAAGGAUAAUAAAUUUGUUUUGGUUAAUAAUUUAGUUUUUAGGUGAAAUUUAAACUAUUAAUAAACCAUUAAUUUAUAAUUCCUAUAAAUUUAAUAAAAAACUAGGAUUAGAUACCCUAUUAUUUUAACUUAAUAUAAUCACUAUACUAUUAAAAGUUAUGUUCUUUAAAAUAAAAAAUUUUGGCGGUAUUCUAGUCUUUUCAGAGGAACCUGUUCUAUAAUUGAUAAUCCACGAUUAGACAAACUUAUUUUCAGUUUACAUAUCGUUGUUAAAACUAUAUUUAAAGAUUAUGGUUAAAUUUCUUUAUUAUGAAUUAAUUCAAAUCAAGGUGUAGCUUUAUAAAUAAGUAGAAAUGGGUUACAAUAUGUAUACAUGAGGAUUUAUAAUUUUAAAUUUUAAUUAAUUUGGAUUUGAAAGUAAUUUUUUAUAUUUAUUUAAAAUGAUUAUUAGCUCUAGAAU